Non-coding RNA from Hypoxylon argillaceum, 91 nucleotides. The record is from the annotation of a GenBank genome assembly. Lineage: Eukaryota; Fungi; Ascomycota; Sordariomycetes; Xylariales; Hypoxylaceae.
GCUCGGUUGGCUCAUUGGUAAGAGCACCUUAGGAUGCCUGGGAGUCAGCAGCAGAUCCUAGGGGAAGGAGGUUCGAUUCCUCUACGGAGCA